GCCAAUCAAAGAGUCUAACUCUGGCCUCUCUCCCGAGGUGACCAAUGGGUGAGACGGAGGAUCCACUCCCUCCCAGCUGAGAGCGCACAACACAUUGUCCACGUGAGUCAGCCUCUUAAAGGAGCCCCCUCCGCCUCGCUAAUUGCAGCAGCUGGGACUCAUUGGGCGGUCAUCCGCGUCAGCAGGUGGCAGCUGAGGCCUAGCUUCCGGCUGUCCAAUGGGGCCCGGUGAUGACAAAUGAAAACAACAGGCUGUUUUCUAGACAACCAGAUCCUUACAUUCUAGGAGAUACUGAUGUACCAGUGAUCUCAUACAGAUUUGCAGACAGUGAAUUUUUGCCAGGAAAAAGAGUCUGAUGAGGAAGCGUGCAGAGGGCAUCUGCACC
Long non-coding RNA from Octodon degus (degu), 385 nucleotides. RefSeq lists it as uncharacterized. The transcript has 3 exons. The record is from RefSeq and is a predicted model, not a curated record. Lineage: Eukaryota; Metazoa; Chordata; Mammalia; Rodentia; Octodontidae.